UUAAUAAGUGCACAGGGUGGAUGCCUUGGCAGUUGGAGCCGAUGAAGGACGUAGUAAUCUGCGAUAAGCCUCGGGGAGUUGAUAAACGAACUCUGAUCCGAGGAUUUCCGAAUGGGGAAACCUGGCUGGAGUCAUGUCCAGUUAUCCUAGCCUGAAUAAAAUAGGGCUAGUGAAGGGAACGCAGGGAAGUGAAACAUCUCAGUACCUGCAGGAAAAUAUAUUCCGUUAGUAGUGGCGAGCGAACGCGGAACAGGCCAAACCGGCUAUGUGUGAUAGGUAUCAGCCGUUGCAUAGUCGGGGUAGCGGGACUUUAUGGUAUGUCUGAUAGCAUACAAAGAGUUACAAAGUUAUGAUAUAGUUGAAGGUCAUUGAAAGGGCCAGCAGAGAGGGUGGUACUCCCGUAAACGAAAUGUCAUAGCCUCUUUUAAAGUAUCCCAAGUAGCACCGAACAAGUGAAAUUCGGUGUGAAUCCGUCGAGACCACUCGAUAAGCCUAAAUACUACCAACUGACCGAUAGUGAACAAGUACCGUGAGGGAAAGGUGAAAAGUACCCCGGGAGGGGAGUGAAAUAGUACCUGAAACCGUGUGCAUACAAUCCGUUGGAGCCUCUUUAACUGGGGUGACAGCGUGCCUUUUGAAGAAUGACCCUACGAGUUAGUGCUCUGUAGCAAGGUUAAGCCGUGUGGCGAAGCCGUAGCGAAAGCGAGUCUGAAUAGGGCGAAUGAGUUGCAGGGUCUAGACCCGAAGCGAAGUGAUCUAGCCAUGGCCAGGUUGAAGCGUAGGUAAGACUGCGUGGAGGACCGAACCCACUUAUGUUAAAAAAUGAGGGGAUGAGCUGUGGUUAGGGGUGAAAGGCCAAUCAAACUUCGUGAUAGCUGGUUCUCUCCGAAAUGCAUUUAGGUGCAGCGUCGAUUGUUUCUUUACGGGGGUAGAGCUACUGGAUUGCCGAUGGGUCCUACCGGAUUACUGACGUAAGCCAAACUCCGAAUACCGUAAAGUUAGAGAUCGGCAGUGAGACUGCGGGGGAUAAGCUUCGUAGUCGAAAGGGAAACAGCCCAGAAUAACAACUAAGGUCCCAAAGAGUAUACUAAGUGGGAAAGGAUGUGAGAUUGCACAGACAACCAGGAGGUUGGCUUAGAAGCAGCCACCCUUGAAAGAGUGCGUAACAGCUCACUGGUCAAGUGAUUUUGCGCCGACAAUGUAGCGGGGCUCAAGUAUACCACCGAAGUUUUAUCAUUCACAUUUAACAGGCCUUCGUGGUCCAGUGUUGUGGAUGGGUAGGAGAGCGUCGUAUGGCGAGUGAAGCAGCGGGAUAACCCAGUUGUGGACGCCAUACGAGUGAGAAUGUAGGGAUGAGUAGCGAAUGGCAGGCGAGAAACCUGCCCGCCGAAUAACUAAGGGUUCCAGGGUCAAGCUAAUCUUCCCUGGGUAAGUCGGGACCUAAGGCGAGGCCGACAGGCGUAGUCGAUGGACAUGCAGUUCAUAUUCUGCAACCGGCGAAAAACCGACCAAACCGAUAGCGUAAUGCUAAGUUUCCUGUGUUUUAGUGGAUCACCUUCGGGUGGACACCGAUUCACGGCAAAUGAACCAAGCGUGUUUAGGUUAGCGUAUUAACAGGAGUGACGGAGAAAGGUAGCUGAGCUAGGCGAUGGUUGUCCUAGUAUAAGCGUGUAGGGCGUGGUAUAGGCAAAUCCGUACCACAUAUAGCCUGAGACGUGAUGUCGAGUCCGUAUGGACGAAUUCAGUGAUCCUAUGCUUCCAAGAAAAGCUUCGACGCGAGGUUUUAGCCGCCCGUACCCCAAACCGACUCAGGUAGUUAGGUAGAGAAUACUAAGGCGAUCGAGAUAAUCAUGGUGAAGGAACUAGGCAAAAUACAUCUGUAACUUCGGAAUAAAGAUGACCUAUGAAGCGUGAAGGAUUUUACAUCUGGAGCGCCUACGGUGGCACAAACCAGGGGGGAGCGACUGUUUAUCAAAAACACAGGUCCAUGCUAACUAGAAAUAGGCUGUAUAUGGACUGACGCCUGCCCGGUGCUGGAAGGUUAAGAGGAAGUGUUAUCUUAUAGAGAAGCACAGAAUUUAAGCCCCAGUAAACGGCGGUGGUAACUAUAACCAUCCUAAGGUAGCGAAAUUCCUUGUCGGGUAAGUUCCGACCUGCACGAAUGGCGUAACGACUCCCCUACUGUCUCCACCAUGAACUCGGCGAAAUUGCAUUACGAGUAAAGAUGCUCGUUACGCGCAGAAGGACGAAAAGACCCCGGGACCUUUACUAUAACUUGGUAUUGGUGUUCGGUGCAAUUUGUGUAGGAUAGCUGGGAGACUUUGAAGCUUGGACGCCAGUUCAAGUGGAGUCAAUGUUGAAAUACCAGUCUGAUUGUAUUGGACAUCUAACUUAGCUCCGUGAUCCGGAGCAGGGACAGUGCCUGGCGGGUAGUUUAACUGGGGCGGUUGCCUCCUAAAGAGUAACGGAGGCGCUCAAAGGUUCCCUCAUGCUGGUUGGCAAUCAGCAUUCGAGUGUAAGGGCACAAGGGAGCUUGACUGUGAGACUGACAAGUCGAGCAGGGACGAAAGUCGGACCUAGUGAUCCGGCACUGGCUUGUGGAAGCGGUGUCGCUCAACGGAUAAAAGGUACCCCGGGGAUAACAGGCUGAUCUUGCCCAAGAGUCCAUAUCGACGGCAUGGUUUGGCACCUCGAUGUCGGCUCGUCGCAUCCUGGGGCUGGAGUUGGUCCCAAGGGUUGGGCUGUUCGCCCAUUAAAGCGGUACGCGAGCUGGGUUCAGAACGUCGUGAGACAGUUCGGUCUCUAUCCUCUGUGCGCGUUUGAUAUUUGAGAAGACCUAUCCCUAGUACGAGAGGACCGGGAUGGACAAACCUCUGGUAUGCCAAUUGUUCCGCCAGGAGCAUGGUUGGUUAGCUACGUUUGGAAGGGAUAACCGCUGAAAGCAUCUAAGCGGGAAGCCUGCUUCAAGAUUAGAUAUCAUUGGACUAUAAGUCCUGAAGGCUCCCAGUAGACUACUGGGUUGAUAGGCCGGAUGUGGAAGUGCAGUAAUGCAUGCAGCUGACCGGUACUAAUUGGCCGAAGACUUCUU
This 3088-nucleotide ribosomal RNA is filed under the name Actinomycetota bacterium. RNAcentral describes it as "23S ribosomal RNA". It matches the Rfam family "Bacterial large subunit ribosomal RNA". The record is from RNAcentral. Lineage: Bacteria; Bacillati; Actinomycetota.